This 286-nucleotide ribosomal RNA is filed under the name uncultured bacterium. Its description in RNAcentral is "partial 16S ribosomal RNA". It matches the Rfam family "Bacterial small subunit ribosomal RNA", at positions 32 to 313 of the family's 1533-position model. The record is from RNAcentral.
AAUCAACGCUGGCGGCAUGCCUAACACAUGCAAGUCGAGCGAGAAAGGGUAGCAAUACCUGAGUAAAGCGGCGCACGGGUGAGUAACACGUGGAUAACCUGCCUCAAAGUGGGGAAUAACACCGGGAAACCGGUGCUAAUACCGCAUAUUCUGACGAGAUCUGUGGAUUUUGCCAGGAAAGGAGCAAUUCGCUAUGAGAGGGGUCCGCGGCUGAUUAGCUAGUUGGNGAGGUACGGCUCACCAGGCCACGAUCAGUAGCCGGUCUGAGGAGGACGGUCGGCCACAC